ACGGCUCAGUAACACGUGGAUAACCUGCCCAAGGGUCUGGGAUAACCCCGGGAAACUGGGGAUAAUACCGGAUGGAUCACUAGUGCUGGAAUGCUUGGUGGUCGAAAGGUAACGCCUUUGGAUGGGUCUGCGGCGGAUUAGGUUGACGCCGGUGUAACGUACCGGCGUGCCUGUAAUCCGUACGGGUUGUGGGAGCAAGAGCCCGGAGAUGGAUUCUGAGACACGAAUCCAGGCCCUACGGGGCGCAGCAGGCGCGAAAACUCUACAAUGCAGGCAACUGCGAUAGGGGGACAUCGAGUGGCAUCCACCUUGGGUGCCUGUCCAACCGUCUAAAAAACGGUUGUUAGCAAGGGCCGGGUAAGACCGGUGCCAGCCGCCGCGGUAAUACCGGCGGCUCGAGUGGUGGCCGAUAUUAUUGAGUCUAAAGGGUCCGUAGCCGGCUUUGCAAGUCCCCUGGGAAAUCCAGCGGCUUAACCGUUGGGCUUUCAUGGGAUACUACAUUGCUUGGGACUGGGAGAGGUAGGAGGUACUCGGGGGGUAGGGGUGAAAUCCUGUAAUCCUCCGGGGACCACCGGUGGCGAAGGCGUCCUACCAGAACAGGUCCGACGGUGAGGGACGAAAGCUAGGGGCACGAACCGGAUUAGAUACCCGGGUAGUCCUAGCCGUAAACGAUGCCCGCUAGGUGUCACGACGGUCGUGAAUCGUCGUGGUGCCGUAGGGAAUCCGCGAAGCGGGCCACUUGGGAAGUACGGCCGCAAGGCUGAAACUUAAAGGAAUUGGCGGGGGAGCACAAUC
Molecule: ribosomal RNA, 795 nt
Filed under: uncultured archaeon
Lineage: Archaea
Description: bacterial SSU rRNA
Rfam family: Archaeal small subunit ribosomal RNA
Source: RNAcentral